RNAcentral lists this transfer RNA (86 nucleotides) under Limimaricola sp. RNAcentral's name for it is "tRNA-Leu". It matches the Rfam family "tRNA". Rfam says of the family: Transfer RNA (tRNA) molecules are approximately 80 nucleotides in length. Their secondary structure includes four short double-helical elements and three loops (D, anti-codon, and T loops). Further hydrogen bonds mediate the characteristic L-shaped molecular structure. tRNAs have two regions of fundamental functional importance: the anti-codon, which is responsible for specific mRNA codon recognition, and the 3' end, to which the tRNAs corresponding amino acid is attached (by aminoacyl-tRNA synthetases). tRNAs cope with the degeneracy of the genetic code in two manners: having more than one tRNA (with a specific anti-codon) for a particular amino acid; and 'wobble' base-pairing, i.e. permitting non-standard base-pairing at the 3rd anti-codon position. The record is from RNAcentral. Lineage: Bacteria; Pseudomonadati; Pseudomonadota; Alphaproteobacteria; Rhodobacterales; Paracoccaceae.
GCCCGCGUGGUGGAAUGGUAGACAUCGGAGACUUAAAAUCUCUUGGCCCUUGGGCCGUGCCGGUUCGAGUCCGGCCGCGGGCACCA